This 299-nucleotide ribosomal RNA is filed under the name uncultured Glomeromycotina. RNAcentral describes it as "partial large subunit ribosomal RNA". Lineage: Eukaryota; Fungi; Glomeromycota. The record is from RNAcentral.
UUGAAAGGGAAACGAUUGAAGUCAGUCGUACCAGCGGGAAAUCAUCCUUUCGAGUGGGUAGGUUAACAUCGAUUUUGAUCAUCAUAAAAAGAUUGGAGGAAUGUAGCUUCGAUCUUGUAUUGAAGUGUUAUAGCCUUUGGUAAAUGUGAUGAUUAGGAUCGAGGAUUGCAACGAAUACCCUUUUGGGCUAUCCGCCUGAUCUCUGAUACGUGGCCUUGGUAUCGAAAGCUUGCUUAUGGUAUUGAGGUAUUACGGUCAAAAGGUUAGAACGGACUACAUUCGUUAAGGAUGUUGACGUA